Molecule: transfer RNA, 73 nt
Filed under: Candidatus Daviesbacteria bacterium RIFCSPHIGHO2_02_FULL_36_13
Lineage: Bacteria; Candidatus Daviesiibacteriota
Also listed under: 1 other name
Description: tRNA-Ile
Rfam family: tRNA
About the family: Transfer RNA (tRNA) molecules are approximately 80 nucleotides in length. Their secondary structure includes four short double-helical elements and three loops (D, anti-codon, and T loops).
Source: RNAcentral
GGGCGUGUAGCUCAGUUGGUAGAGCGAGUGUCUUAUACACACUUGGUCCCUGGUUCGAGUCCAGGCGCGCCCA